CCAGACUCCUACGGGAGGCAGCAGUUAGGAAUAUUCGUCAAUGGGGGAAACCCUGAACGAGCAAUGCCGCGUGAAGGAUGACGGUCCUCUGGAUUGUAAACUUCUGUUGUUAGGGAAGAACGACCUAAGUAGGAAAUGACUUAGGAGUGACGGUACCUUUCAAGAAAGCUCCGGCUAACUACGUGCCAGCAGCCGCGGUAAUACGUAGGGAGCGAGCGUUAUCCGGAUUUACUGGGCGUAAAGGGAGCGCAGGCGGCGCGCCAAGUCUGAUGUGAAACCCCGGGGCUCAACCCCGGGCAUGCAUUGGAAACUGGCGGGCUGGAGUGCCGGAGAGGUAAGCGGAAUUCCUAGUGUAGCGGUGAAAUGCGUAGAUAUUAGGAGGAACACCAGUGGCGAAGGCGGCUUACUGGACGGCAACUGACGCUGAGGCUCGAAAGCGUGGGGAGCAAACAGGAUUAGAUACCCGUGUAGCU
RNAcentral lists this ribosomal RNA (473 nucleotides) under uncultured bacterium. RNAcentral's name for it is "partial 16S ribosomal RNA". It matches the Rfam family "Bacterial small subunit ribosomal RNA", at positions 331 to 795 of the family's 1533-position model. The record is from RNAcentral.